This 172-nucleotide non-coding RNA is filed under the name Sporomusaceae bacterium. RNAcentral's name for it is "6S / SsrS RNA". It matches the Rfam family "6S / SsrS RNA". From Rfam's summary of the family: E. coli 6S RNA was the first non coding RNA to be sequenced, but its function was unknown until recently. It consists of 184 nucleotides that fold into an extended hairpin structure with a large single-stranded internal bulge. RNAcentral also lists the same sequence under 1 other name. The record is from Rfam by way of RNAcentral. Lineage: Bacteria; Bacillati; Bacillota; Negativicutes; Selenomonadales; Sporomusaceae.
GGUUGCCUGGAAUAUGCGUUAACUGAAUAUGUCCAACCUACUUUUAUAACCGGGGAAUUUGAUGUUAUGCAGCUGCCGAGCCACCCUGAGUGGAUGGCAAAAACAUAACUAGGAUGCCCACCUGCGAGCAGCGGGUUUGGACAUAUAAAGACAACGGUAUUAUGGGCUAACA